Bombina bombina (fire-bellied toad) is the source of this 1876-nucleotide RNA transcript. It is a transcript of the gene named threonine synthase like 2, with no coding region annotated. The record is from RefSeq and is a predicted model, not a curated record. NCBI's taxonomy places the organism in Eukaryota, Metazoa, Chordata, Amphibia, Anura, Bombinatoridae. The transcript is spliced from 10 exons.
UCUGUGUUGGAAGCAGCUGCACGAGUUACGGAGCACAAGCUUUGGCUGCGUGCAGACAUGAAGUAUACAAGCACCCGUGGAGGAGCGACAGGAGUGGAUUUUCAAGACGUUCUAUUUUCUGGAUUUGCUCCAGACGGUGGCCUUUUUAUGCCUGAGGAGAUCCCUAAAUUAGACAGCAAGACCAUAGAAGCAUGGAGCUUAUUUUCAUAUAUAGAAUUAGUAAAAGAAAUAUGUUCACUUUUCAUUCCUCUCGAGUCUAUUCCUAGGACUGACCUUAAUGGUCUAAUUGAUAAAGCCUUUAGUCGCUUCAGACACAAGGACAUUGUUCCAAUAUCUAGACUAGGAAGUGGGUUAAUUGUCUUGGAGAUGUGGCACGGUGUGACUCACGCAUUCAAAGACCUUGCAAUGUCCUGCGUCGGGCAGUUUCUAGACUACUUUUUAAAAAAAACUAAUAAACAUGUCAACAUUCUUGUUGGGACCUCGGGAGACACCGGCAGCUCAGCAAUUGAAAGUGUCAGGGGGAUAAAAAAUAUAGAUAUUAUUGUUCUGUUACCGCACGGACGCUGCACAAAAAUUCAAGAGCUGCAGAUGACAACUGUGAUUGAAGACAAUGUUCACGUCUUUGCUGUGGAUGGAACAUCUGAUGAACUAGAUGAACCUAUCAAAAAGCUGUUUGCUGACACUGACUUUGUGAGGAAGCACCAUCUAAUGAGCACAAAUUCGGUCAACUGGGCUCGAGUGCUGGUGCAGAUUGCGCAUUACUUCUAUGCCUACUUCCAAUGCGCUAAAUUUGUAACCAGUGAGACGCUGCCCCUAGUGGAAAUAGUGGUUCCUUCAGGGGGAGCUGGAAACAUCACAGCUGGUUGCAUUGCACAGAUGAUGGGACUUCCAAUCCGCUUGGUCGCUGCCGUGAACAGAAACGACAUCAUUCACCGCAUUGUACAACAUGGAGAUUUCUCAUUAGGUGACACAGAAACAAGUCUGGCAUCUGCAAUGGAUAUUCAGGAGCCGUACAACAUGGAGAGAAUAUUUUGGUUACUUGCAGGCUCAGAGAAAAGCAGAAUGAGAGAGAUGAUGGAAGAAUAUAAUAUAAAGAAAGUACUGAAAUUACCAGAUGAACUUCAUAAAAAGGUUUUGCAAGCAAUGACAUCCUGCUCCGUUACUGAUGAAAAUAUACUACAAACCAUUAGGCGCUGCUGGGAGGAAAAUCGUUACCUGCUGUGCCCUCAUUCUGCUGUUGCAGUAUUUUAUCAUUACAAGCAAUUUGACAACAACCAGAACAGGAGAUGCAGGAUAUUCCUGUAGGAACUGGCUACUUACUCCUGUAAAUAUUCCACGCACAAGAUCUGAAAUGCGGUACAAUGAUGCACACAAAACAACUCGAUGUGUGAUUGAGAGGACCUUUGGAAUGCUCAAAAGCCAUUUUCGUUGUCUAGAUGAAUCCGGAGGCACUCUUCAAUACGUUCCUGAGAAAGUGGCUGUUAUGGUGUUGGUCUGUUGCAUGUUGCAUAACAUCGCUUUGCGACAAUCAAACAUAGAGGAACUGGAAAUAAUAACACCAGAUGAAGAUGGUGUUGAAUCUGUUCCUCAAGAUGUAGUUGAAGGGGGUACACAUGCACGUAACCAGUUGAUACAAACUCAUUUCGUAGGUUAACUAGAAAAUGUUUCUAAGUUCAAGCAUGAAAAUCUAUAAUUCAAAAAUGAGAAACGUUCUCCACAAAAUUAUUCACAAUUUAGAUGAUGAGAGUGAUGUGUAAUUCAAAAAUAAAUAUGUUCUGAUUGAUACAGUUGAAAAAAAAAAUAUUUGCAUAUGUUGUCUUUUCUUCUAUUUGUUAUUUGUUUAAAAAAAUUAAAAUAAAAUCAAAUUUUUUUUUAA